RNAcentral lists this ribosomal RNA (590 nucleotides) under uncultured bacterium. RNAcentral's name for it is "bacterial SSU rRNA". It matches the Rfam family "Bacterial small subunit ribosomal RNA", at positions 338 to 950 of the family's 1533-position model. The record is from RNAcentral.
CCUACGGGAGGCAGCAGUGGGGAAUCUUGCGCAAUGGGCGAAAGCCUGACGCAGCCAUGCCGCGUGUAUGAUGAAGGUCUUAGGAUUGUAAAAUACUUUCACCGGUGAAGAUAAUGACUGUAGCCGGAGAAGAAGCCCCGGCUAACUUCGUGCCAGCAGCCGCGGUAAUACGAAGGGGGCUAGCGUUGCUCGGAAUUACUGGGCGUAAAGGGAGCGUAGGCGGACAUUUAAGUCAGAGGUGAAAUCCCGGAGCUUAACUUCGGAACUGCCUUUGAUACUGGGUGUCUUGAGUGUGAGAGAGGUAUGUGGAACUCCGAGUGUAGAGGUGAAAUUCGUAGAUAUUCGGAAGAACACCAGUGGCGAAGGCGACAUACUGGCUCAUUACUGACGCUGAGGCUCGAAAGCGUGGGGAGCAAACAGGAUUAGAUACCCUGGUAGUCCACGCCGUAAACGAUGAUUGCUAGUUGUCGGGAAGCUUGCUUCUCGGUGACGCNGCUACGCAUAGUACANCCGCCGUGGGAGGUACGGUCGCGAGAUAAACUACAAGAAGUUAGUAGNGUUGAGAGNGCGAGGCGACGACGAGGGAGAGG